Molecule: ribosomal RNA, 253 nt
Filed under: uncultured bacterium
Lineage: Bacteria
Description: partial 16S ribosomal RNA
Rfam family: Bacterial small subunit ribosomal RNA
Source: RNAcentral
UACGUAGGGUGCGAGCGUUGUCCGGAAUUAUUGGGCGUAAAGCGCGCGCAGGUGGUUCCUUAAGUCUGAUGUGAAAGCCCACGGCUCAACCGUGGAGGGUCAUUGGAAACUGGGGAACUUGAGUGCAGAAGAGGAAAGUGGAAUUCCAAGUGUAGCGGUGAAAUGCGUAGAGAUUUGGAGGAACACCAGUGGCGAAGGCGACUUUCUGGUCUGUAACUGACACUGAGGCGCGAAAGCGUGGGGAGCAAACAGG